UCAGCGGCAGACGGGUGAGUAACACGUAGGUGACCUACCCUCGAGACGGGGAUAGCGGCUGGAAACAGUCGCUAAUACCCGAUAGACUUACCAGGUCAAAGCGGUAAGAAAAGCUACGGUGCUUGAGGAGGGGCCUGCGGCCCAUCAGCUAGUUGGUAGGGUAACGGGCUACCAAGGCGAAAAAGGGUUAGGGGGGUGGUGAAAGCCCAAGCCCCCACAAUGGGACUGCGACACGGGCCAUACUCCUACGGGAGGCAGCAGCAGGGAAUAUUGCACAAUGGACGGAAGUCUGAUGCAGCGACGCCGCGUGAGUGAAGACGGCCCUUCGGGUUGUAAAGCUCUUUUACGGGGGACGAGGAAGGACGGUACCCUGGGAAGAAGUGUCGGCUAACUACGUGCCAGCAGCCGCGGUAAGACGUAGGACACAAGCGUUAUCCGGAGUUACUGGGCGUAAAGCGCCUGCAGGCGGCCUGGUAAGUUGGACGUGAAAGCCCCGUGCUUAACGCGGGGAGGUCGGACAAUACUGCCAAGCUAGAGUGCGUCAGAGGGGAGUGGAAUUUCCGGAGUAGCGGUAAAAUGCGCAGAUAUCGGAAGGAACACCAGUGGCGAAAGCGACUCCCUGGGGCGCGACUGACGCUAAGAGGCGAAAGCUAGGGGAGCGAACAGGAUUAGAGACCCUGGUAGUCCUAGCCCUAAACGAUGGAUGCUAGGUGUGGGACGUAAAGUUCCGUGCCGGAGCCAACGCGAUAAGCAUCCCGCCUGGGGACUACGGUCGCACGGCUAAAACUCAAACGAAUUGACGGGGACCCGCACAAGCAGCGGAGCGUGUGGUUCAAUUCGAUGCUACACGAAGAACCUUACCUGGGUUUGACAUGUACGUGGUAGAGAAGCGAAAGCGGAUUGACCCUUCGGGGAGCGUACACAGGUGCUGCAUGGCUGUCGUCAGCUCGUGCCGUGAGGUGUCGGGUUAAGUCCCGUAACGAGCGCAACCCUUAUCCUUAGUUGCACGUAUCUAGGGAGACUGCCGGCGGGAAGCCGGAGGAAGGUGGGGAUGACGUCAAGUCAGCAUGGCCCUUAUGUCCAGGGCUACACACACGCUACAAUGGCCGGUACAAAGGGCAGCAAAGUCGCGAGGCGGAGCGAAUCCCAACAAAGCCGGUCGUAGUUCGGAUUGCAGGCUGCAACUCGCCUGCAUGAAGCUGGAGUUGCUAGUAACCGCGCGUCAGCUAUAGUGCGGUGAAUACGUACCCGGGUCUUGUACACACCGCCCGUCACGUCAUGGAAGUCGGUAACGCCUGAAGGCGGUAGCCUAGCUCGGAAGAGGGGGCGCUGUCGAAGGCGGGACUGG
Molecule: ribosomal RNA, 1348 nt
Filed under: uncultured organism
Description: 16S ribosomal RNA
Rfam family: Bacterial small subunit ribosomal RNA
Source: RNAcentral